GACGAACGCUGGCGGCGUGCUUAACACAUGCAAGUCGAACGGAAAGGCCCCCUUGUGGGGUACUCGAGUGGCGAACGGGUGAGUAACACGUGAGUAACCUACCCUUGACUUUGGGAUAACUUCAGGAAACUGGGGCUAAUACCGGAUAGGAGCUCCUGCUGCAUGGUGGGGGUGGGAGAGUUUCGGCGGUUGGGGGUGGACUCGCGGCUUAUCAGCUUGUUGGUGGGGUAGUGGCUUACCAAGGCUUUGACGGGUAGCCGGCCUGAGAGGGUGACCGGCCACAUUGGGACUGAGAUACGGCCCAGACUCCUACGGGAGGCAGCAGUGGGGAAUAUUGCACAAUGGGCGGAAGCCUGAUGCAGCAACGCCGCGUGCGGGAUGACGGCCUUCGGGUUGUAAACCGCUUUCGCCUGUGACGAAGCGUGAGUGACGGUAAUGGGUAAAGAAGCACCGGCUAACUACGUG
Molecule: ribosomal RNA, 465 nt
Filed under: uncultured bacterium
Lineage: Bacteria
Description: partial 16S ribosomal RNA
Rfam family: Bacterial small subunit ribosomal RNA
Source: RNAcentral